GACAGAGGGUGCAAACGUUGUUCGGAAUUACUGGGCGUAAAGCGCGUGUAGGCUGCUCAGAAAGUCGGAUGUGAAAGCCCUGGGCUUAACCUAGGAAGUGCAUUCGAAACUUCUGAGCUGGAGUCCUGGAGAGGAAGGUGGAAUGCUUGGUGUAGAGGUGAAAUUCGUAGAUAUCAAGCGGAACACCGGUGGCGAAGGCGGCCUUCUGGACAGUGACUGACGCUGAGACGCGAAAGCGUGGGGAGCAAACAGG
Molecule: ribosomal RNA, 253 nt
Filed under: uncultured bacterium
Lineage: Bacteria
Description: partial 16S ribosomal RNA
Rfam family: Bacterial small subunit ribosomal RNA
Source: RNAcentral